Molecule: ribosomal RNA, 697 nt
Filed under: uncultured Escherichia sp.
Lineage: Bacteria; Pseudomonadati; Pseudomonadota; Gammaproteobacteria; Enterobacterales; Enterobacteriaceae
Description: bacterial SSU rRNA
Rfam family: Bacterial small subunit ribosomal RNA
Source: RNAcentral
CGCUGGCGGCAGGCCUAACACAUGCAAGUCGAACGGUAACAGGAAACAGCUUGCUGUUUCGCUGACGAGUGGCGGACGGGUGAGUAAUGUCUGGGAAACUGCCUGAUGGAGGGGGAUAACUACUGGAAACGGUAGCUAAUACCGCAUAACGUCGCAAGACCAAAGAGGGGGACCUUCGGGCCUCUUGCCAUCGGAUGUGCCCAAAUGGGAUUAGCUUGUUGGUGGGGUAACGGCUCACCAAGGCGACGAUCCCUAGCUGGUCUGAGAGGAUGACCAGCCACACUGGAACUGAGACACGGUCCAGACUCCUACGGGAGGCAGCAGUGGGGAAUAUUGCACAAUGGGCGCAAGCCUGAUGCAGCCAUGCCGCGUGUAUGAAGAAGGCCUUCGGGUUGUAAAGUACUUUCAGCGGGGAGGAAGGGAGUAAAGUUAAUACCUUUGCUCAUUGACGUUACCCGCAGAAGAAGCACCGGCUAACUCCGUGCCAGCAGCCGCGGUAAUACGGAGGGUGCAAGCGUUAAUCGGAAUUACUGGGCGUAAAGCGCACGCAGGUGGUUUGUUAAGUCAGAUGUGAAAUCCCCGGGCUCAACCUGGGAACUGCAUCUGAUACUGGCAAGCUUGAGUCUCGUAGAGGGGGGUAGAAUUCCAGGUGUAGCGGUGAAAUGCGUAGAGAUCUGGAGGAAUACCGGUGGCGAAG